Molecule: non-coding RNA, 992 nt
Organism: Pelobates cultripes (western spadefoot toad)
Lineage: Eukaryota; Metazoa; Chordata; Amphibia; Anura; Pelobatidae
Source: the annotation of a GenBank genome assembly
CUUCAGCUCAAUGAAGUGGUAUGGGCGCCAGGUCCCUCAGGUUUUAACCCUUCAGAUGUAAACAUAGCAGUUUCAGAGAAACUGCUAUAUUUACAUAGCAGGGUUAAUCCAGCCUCUAGUGGCUGUCUUUCUGACAGCCGCUAGAGGCGCUUCUGCGACGCUGGAUGCGAAAUUCGCAUCCAGCGUGCAGAAUGUCCAUAGGAAAGCACUUGCCGCGCAUGUGCAUUCUGCUCCACUCGGGAGCUGACGCCGGUGGGGGAGGAGAGGUCACCAGCGCCGAGGGAGCCCGGCACUGGAUUAAGGUAAGUAACUGAAGGGGUUUUAAAGCCUUCAACGCCAAGGGAGGGGGACCCUGAGAGUGGGGGGGAGGGGAGGAUCCUAAGGAUGAUAUAGUGUCAGGAAAAUGAGUUUGUUUUCCUGACACUAUAGUGAUCCUUUAAUGGAGUGGAUUUGGUGUAUAGAUCAUGCCCCAAUAGUCUAACUUACACAUUUCACAAUCUCUGCAAUUUUGAAAUUAAAUCACUUCGUUUAUGCAGUCCUAGUCACACCUUCCCUGUCUGAGACACUACAUACAAGUACACCACUAGUUUCCAAUGACAACACCACAUACAAAUACACCCCUACAUUCACAGAUAUACUUCAUACAAAAACAUGGAGUGCUUGCAAAUCAUUCUGUAGAUGGAUAAAACAGUACCUUUACAUCUUACAAUUAAAGAUAAAAUAUUGAUGGCUUAAUAAGUUGUAGACAGCAAUCCCACCACCACCUCCAUAUACAUUCAAAUUACCCAUGUGCCGUACACAAUUCUAUAUUCCCUGAAGUUGUCUCUGACCACCUGUCCGUAAUGUGGCGUAUGACACUUUGCCAAGAGGCUUCUGUUUCAUCAAUGAUAUCUCCAAGCAAAUUCAUAGAAAUAUUUUUCCAGUUUUCUGAUAUGUUAUUUAGAUUAUAAAGAAAUUAUUGAGGCCUAGGGCAGUAAUAUUAACUGGGGAAC